CCCCAGGUACCAAGGCUGUCCCCUCUCAGAUUGUCUUUCAUCAACUUUGUAUAUGUCUUGUAUAUAGCUAGUUAUUUCCCUUUUUUAACACUUUAGUAAUGCUUUAUUUUCCCCAUUACAAAAAUAAUUUUUUUAUAUUUGUUUCCUUAUCUUUUGAGUUCUGAAUCCCCUCCCUUCCUUUUUUUCCCUUAUCCCCUCCUUGCGACAGUAAGCAAUUUGAUAUAGGUUAUAUAAAUGCAAUCAUAUAAAACAUCAUUCCUCAUGAAUAAGACACUUUUUUUAAAAAUCCAUGAAGAAAAUAAAGUGGAAAAUGGUGUGUUUCAAAGGUAGCUAGAUGACUACUAGUGGAUUGGGAGCCAGGCCUAGAGACAGGAAGGAGGUCCUGGGUUCAAAUCUGUCCUCAGACACUUCUAGCAAUGUGACCCUGGGUGAGUCCCUUAACCCCCAUUGCCUAGUCCUUGCCACUCUUCUGCCUUGGAACCAAUACACAGUGUUGAUUCUAAGAUGAAAGGUAAGGGGAGGUUGUUUUUAUUUUUAUUUUUUAAUGGUUUGCUUCCAUCUGCAUUCAGACUCCACCAUUCUUUCUCUAGUGGUCAAUAGUUUUUUUCAUCAUGGGUCCCGUUGUGUUGCUGAGAAUAGCUAAGUCAUUCAGAGUCGUUCAUCAUACAAUAUUGCUAUUACUGUGUAUGAUGUUCUCCUGGUUCUGCUCACUUCUCUGUGCAUUCAUUUCUCUGUCUUUUCAGGUUUUUUGGAGCUCUUCCUGAUCAUCAUCUCUUAUAGCAUAAUAGUAUUCCAUUCCAAUCCUAGAGAAACAUAUACUUGUUCAGCCACACACCUAAGUGUUUACAUGCUGUCUCCCCAGUGGAAUGUAGGCUCCUCAAGGGCAGGAGAUCUUUUUGCCUUUCUUUGUGACAUCAUCCCCCUACCCAAGCCAGGACACUUGGCCCAGUGCCUGGCCUGGAGGGAAUGUUUAAUAGAUGUUUCCUGACUCAUUUAUUCCCUGCUGGAGCCUUCAUGAAAGAGGAGAGAAGAAUGAAAACAGCUUUAGGUGAUCAAAUGUUGACUUGGGAAUCAGGAGAUCUGGAUUCUAGUUCUGCCUUCACCACAUAUUUACUAUGUAACCUUCAACAUAUGACUUCCCUUCUCUGGGCCUCAACUUUCUUCCCUAUAAAAUAAUGGAUUACACUAAAUUCAACAAGCAUUUAUUAAGUGUUUUAUGCACAGUGCUGGGUAAGGGUGACAGGUUAUGGGAUUGGAAAGGUAAAUCUAUUUGAAGGGAGUGUGUGGAUUAAAGAAAUUGAAUCUAUGCAAUAAUAACCAGCCAUGAUCCCAGAGGACCCAAAAUGGAACAUGAAUGCCAGGGCAGCUAAGUGGAUCAAUGUAUAGAGAGGCAACCCUUUAGUUGGAAGGUCCUAGAUUCAAAUUUGACCUCAGACUCUUUCUAGCUGUGUGACCCUGGGCAAGUUACUUGACCCCAGUUGCCUAGCCCUUACAACACUCUUCAGCCUUGGAAUAAAAACAUAGUACUGA
RNAcentral lists this long non-coding RNA (1530 nucleotides) under Monodelphis domestica (gray short-tailed opossum). RNAcentral describes it as "lncRNA (ENSMODG00000041467.1)". The record is from RNAcentral. Lineage: Eukaryota; Metazoa; Chordata; Mammalia; Didelphimorphia; Didelphidae.